This 326-nucleotide ribosomal RNA is filed under the name Acinetobacter baumannii. RNAcentral describes it as "partial 23S ribosomal RNA". It matches the Rfam family "Bacterial large subunit ribosomal RNA", at positions 1 to 361 of the family's 2925-position model. Lineage: Bacteria; Pseudomonadati; Pseudomonadota; Gammaproteobacteria; Moraxellales; Moraxellaceae. The record is from RNAcentral.
GUUGUAUAGUCAAGUAAUUAAGUGCAUGUGGUGGAUGCCUUGGCAGUCAGAGGCGAUGAAAGACGUGAUAGCCUGCGAAAAGCUCCGGGGAGGCGGCAAAUAUCCUUUGAUCCGGAGAUGUCUGAAUGGGGGAACCCACCUACUUUAAGGUAGGUAUUGCAACAUGAAUACAUAGUGUUGCAAGGCGAACGAGGGGAAGUGAAACAUCUCAGUACCCUUAGGAAAAGAAAUCAAUUGAGAUUCCCUCAGUAGCGGCGAGCGAAAGGGGAUCAGCCCAUUAAGUUAUGUGUGUUUUAGUGGAACGCUCUGGGAAGUGCGAACGUAGA